This 774-nucleotide ribosomal RNA is filed under the name uncultured Neocallimastigales. RNAcentral's name for it is "partial large subunit ribosomal RNA". It matches the Rfam family "Eukaryotic large subunit ribosomal RNA", at positions 23 to 648 of the family's 3401-position model. The record is from RNAcentral. Lineage: Eukaryota; Fungi; Neocallimastigomycota; Neocallimastigomycetes; Neocallimastigales.
GAGACUCUGUGCGCGUGCAUAUCAAUAAGCGGAGGAAAAGAAACUAACAAGGAUUCCCUUAGUAACGGCGAGUGAAGCGGGAAGAGCUCAAAUUUGAAAUCUUCAAGGUUCUACCUUGACGAAUUGUAGUUUAUAGAAGUGUUUUCUGUUAGUAGAGUGGCAAAAGUUCUUUGGAAUAGGACAUCAUAGAGGGUGAGAAUCCCGUAUUUGGUCAUUCUUUCUAGCUUUGUGAUACACUUUCAACGAGUCGGAUUGUUUGGGAAUGCAGUCCAAAAUGGGUGGUAAGUUUCAUCUAAAGCUAAAUAUUGGCGAGAGACCGAUAGCGAACAAGUACCGUGAGGGAAAGAUGAAAAGAACUUUGAAAAGAGAGUUAAACAGUACGUGAAAUUGUCAAAAGGGAAGCGUUUGACACCAGUGUUGUUUUUCCGAAAAUCAAUUACGAAUGUUUUGUUUUUAAGAAGUUAUGACUUCAUCGGCUUGCUUCUUUCUUUACGAAACUUUCUUAAUGCACUUUUCGGUUAACAAGUCAACAUCAAUUUCUUUUGUUGUAAAAGGGUAUGAGGAAGGUGGCUUUCUUUUCGGAGAAAGUGUUUAUAGCCUUGUGCCUCUGCAAUCGGAGAGAUUGAGGUCUGCAGCGUAGAUCCUUCGGGGUUAGAUACGUUUGUGCUAAGUUAUAGCUUUUCAUAGACAACUUGUUGACUAUGUUUAGUCUUGUAGCUUACUCGCUGACGCUAUUUUACCUACGCUUAGGAUGUUGACGAUCAGCUGAGCGCG